RNAcentral lists this ribosomal RNA (452 nucleotides) under uncultured Anaerolineaceae bacterium. Its description in RNAcentral is "bacterial SSU rRNA". It matches the Rfam family "Bacterial small subunit ribosomal RNA", at positions 915 to 1382 of the family's 1533-position model. Lineage: Bacteria; Bacillati; Chloroflexota; Anaerolineae; Anaerolineales; Anaerolineaceae. The record is from RNAcentral.
GGGGACCCGCACAAGCAGCGGAGCGUGUGGUUUAAUUCGUUGCUACACGAAGAACCUUACCUGGGUUUGACAUAUAGGUUGUAGGGAACUGAAAAGGGACGACCCUUCGGGAGCCUAUACAGGUGUUGCAUGGCUGUCGUCAGCUCGUGUCGUGAGAUGUUCGGUUAAGUCCGCUAACGAGCGCAACCCUCGUCGUAUGUUAUAUGUGUCAUACGAGACUGCCGGUAAAAAGCCGGAGGAAGGUGAGGAUGAUGUCAAGUCAGCAUGACCUUUAUAUCCAGGGCUACACACACGCUACAAUGGUCUGUACAAUGGGUAGCCAAGCCGCGAGGCGGAGCCAAUCCUGAAAGCAGGCCUCAGUUCAGAUUGCAGUCUGCAACUCGACUGCAUGAAGCCGGAGUUGCUAGUAACCGCAGGUCAGCAAUACUGCGGUGAAUACGUUCCCGGGUCUU